GUGGGGAAUCUUGCGCAAUGGGCGAAAGCCUGACGCAGCCAUGCCGCGUGAAUGAUGAAGGUCUUAGGAUUGUAAAAUUCUUUCACCGGGGACGAUAAUGACGGUACCCGGAGAAGAAGCCCCGGCUAACUUCGUGCCAGCAGCCGCGGUAAUACGAAGGGGGCUAGCGUUGCUCGGAAUUACUGGGCGUAAAGGGCGCGUAGGCGGACAGUUUAGUCAGAGGUGAAAGCCCAGGGCUCAACCUUGGAAUUGCCUUUGAUACUGGCUGUCUUGAGUACGGGAGAGGUGAGUGGAACUCCGAGUGUAGAGGUGAAAUUCGUAGAUAUUCGGAAGAACACCAGUGACGAAGGCGACUCACUGGCCCGUUACUGACGCUGAGGCGCGAAAGCGUGGGGAGCAAACAGGAUUAGAUACCCUUGUAGUCC
RNAcentral lists this ribosomal RNA (425 nucleotides) under uncultured bacterium. RNAcentral describes it as "partial 16S ribosomal RNA". It matches the Rfam family "Bacterial small subunit ribosomal RNA", at positions 354 to 796 of the family's 1533-position model. The record is from RNAcentral.